AGAGCAGGAAGGAUUUCCCUCCUGUGUAUUAAAGCAACCACAGCACAAAGGGAUUUCUAUUCAGUUAGAGGUGUUAAGCAUUGCCAGAUUAAUAAAUUUGCUGUGAAUUUUAUUUUUAUUAAAGUAAUAAAUACAAAAUGGCUGGCUUUGAUAUGUCAUUUACUUACAUUUCAUGUAUAUUAAUUACUAAAUGCUGUGAACUUUCAUUUCAGUGUGCAUUCCUAGUGGAAUCCUUAAAGCAACGUUCAGUAAAUCAGUCUGUUAAUCCAUUUAUACCAGAAGGAGACCCAAAUGUACUUACAAAGAAAGAGAAAAGAAGGCCACAGAAGUUGCCAUCUCCUAAACCCACAGCCCUCAGUCUGGCUAGAAUGUAUAUUAAAGACAACCAUGAUGCAGAGAGAAAUGCUUCCAGAAGAGUACAGAUAUGGCGUCCUACUAGUGCCAAAGCAGAAAUUCCACCAGGUCCAGUAUACCAAAAGUAUCCAAAGGUAGUAUGCGUAGGAAAGUCUGUUCCCUCUGUUACAUUGCCAAAGAAAGAGGAAAUCUGUUCAAGCAGAGAGGUACUUACUAAUGCAAUGCCAUUUGAGAAUUAUGCAUAUGAAUUAAUGUGAACACGUUACUUGUGAUUCCUUACAGUGUAUUGUUACUUCAUCUGUUCUAUGUACUAGCAACCAGUUGCUUCAUCUGUUUGUCUUACCAGUGGCUAUCCAAGUACAGUAUUAAAAAGCUUAAACUGGAAUUGCCCCAACUGCUGUUUGGUCCAGGCUGUACUCACCAACAGAAAACUGUGGCAUCACUGCGCAAGACAGUGUCAGCAAAAUACUGCACAGUCUUCCCUAGCGUGGAAAUCGAUGUAAGCAUUUGCAGACUUCAUCUGCCUACAUCAUUGAA
Molecule: long non-coding RNA, 891 nt
Filed under: Melopsittacus undulatus (budgerigar)
Lineage: Eukaryota; Metazoa; Chordata; Aves; Psittaciformes; Psittaculidae
Description: lncRNA (ENSMUNG00000020924.1)
Source: RNAcentral